CGGCGGACGGGUGAGUAACACGUGGAUAACCUACCUAUAAGACUGGGAUAACUUCGGGAAACCGGAGCUAAUACCGGAUAAUAUAUUGAACCGCAUGGUUCAAUAGUGAAAGACGGUUUUGCUGUCACUUAUAGAUGGAUCCGNGCCGCAUUAGCUAGUUGGUAAGGUAACGGCUUACCAAGGCAACGAUGCGUAGCCGACCUGAGAGGGUGAUCGGCCACACUGGAACUGAGACACGGUCCAGACUCCUACGGGAGGCAGCAGGC
Molecule: ribosomal RNA, 266 nt
Filed under: uncultured Staphylococcus sp.
Lineage: Bacteria; Bacillati; Bacillota; Bacilli; Caryophanales; Staphylococcaceae
Description: partial 16S ribosomal RNA
Rfam family: Bacterial small subunit ribosomal RNA
Source: RNAcentral